This 991-nucleotide ribosomal RNA is filed under the name uncultured bacterium. RNAcentral's name for it is "bacterial SSU rRNA". It matches the Rfam family "Bacterial small subunit ribosomal RNA", at positions 515 to 1496 of the family's 1533-position model. The record is from RNAcentral.
CCGCGGUAAUACGGAGGGUGCAAGCGUUAUUCGGAAUUACUGGGCGUAAAGGGCGCGCAGGCGGCUCCUUAAGUCGGGCGUGAAAGCCCGGGGCUAAACCCCGGAAGGGCGUCUGAAACUAGGGAGCUCGAGUACGGGAGAGGGAAGUGGAAUUCCUGGUGUAGAGGUGAAAUUCGUAGAUAUCAGGAGGAACACCGGUGGCGAAGGCGACUUCCUGGACCGAUACUGACGCUGAGGCGCGAAAGCGUGGGGAGCGAACAGGAUUAGAGACCCUGGUAGUCCACGCCGUAAACGAUGAACACUAGGUGUAGCGGGUAUUGACUCCUGCUGUGCCGCAGCUAACGCAUUAAGUGUUCCGCCUGGGGACUACGGUCGCAAGGCUAAAACUCAAAGGAAUUGACGGGGGCCCGCACAAGCGGUGGAGCAUGUGGUUUAAUUCGACGCAACGCGAAGAACCUUACCUGGGCUUGACAUCCCAAGAAGCCCCUCGAAAGAGGGGGGUGCCCUUCGGGGAGCUUGGAGACAGGUGCUGCAUGGCUGUCGUCAGCUCGUGUCGUGAGAUGUUGGGUUAAGUCCCGCAACGAGCGCAACCCUUGUCUUUAGUUGCCAUCAGCUAGGCUGGGCACUCUAAAGAUACUGCCUCGGUCAACGGGGAGGAAGGUGGGGAUGACGUCAAGUCCUCAUGGCCUUUAUGCCCAGGGCUACACACGUGCUACAAUGGGCUGCACAAAGGGUCGCGAUCCCGCGAGGAGCAGCUAAUCCCAAAAAGCAGUUCUCAGUUCGGAUUGGAGUCUGCAAUUCGACUCCAUGAAGUUGGAAUCGCUAGUAAUCGUGGAUCAGCAUGCCACGGUGAAUGCGUUCCCGGGCCUUGUACACACCGCCCGUCACACCACGAGAGUUGACUGUACCAGAAGUUGCUGGGCCAACUUGCUUCGAGCAGGAGGCAGGUACCUAAGGUAUGGUUGAUAAUUGGGGUGAAGUCGUAACAAGG